Molecule: ribosomal RNA, 392 nt
Filed under: uncultured bacterium
Lineage: Bacteria
Description: bacterial SSU rRNA
Rfam family: Bacterial small subunit ribosomal RNA
Source: RNAcentral
AUUGAACGCUGGCGGCAUGCCUUACACAUGCAAGUCGAACGGCAGCACGGGAGCAAUCCUGGUGGCGAGUGGCGAACGGGUGAGUAAUGUAUCGGAACGUACCUUUCAGUGGGGGAUGACGUAGCGAAAGUUACGCUAAUACCGCAUAUUCUGUGAGCAGGAAAGCAGGGGAUCGCAAGACCUUGCGCUGAUUGAGCGGCCGAUAUCAGAUUAGCUAGUUGGUGAGGUAAAGGCUCACCAAGGCGACGAUCUGUAGCGGGUCUGAGAGGAUGAUCCGCCACACUGGAACUGAGACACGGUCCAGACUCCUACGGGAGGCAGCAGUGGGGAAUUUUGGACAAUGGGCGCAAGCCUGAUCCAGCAAUGCCGCGUGCAGGAAGAAGGCCUCGGUU